AGAGUUUGAUCCUGGCUCAGGAUAAACGCUGGCGGCGUGCCUUACGCAUGCAAGUCGAACGAUUCUAAUUUAUUAGUUUAGUGGCAAACGGGUGAGUAACACGUAAGUAACCUGCCCUUUAGUGGAGGAUAGCCUCGGGAAACCGGGGUUAAUACCGCGUAAUAUAGUAGAGGUAAAGCACUACUAUUAAAGCCUUAGGGCGCUAAAGGAGGGGCUUGCGUCCGAUUAGCUAGUUGGUGGGGUAACGGUUCACCAAGGCAGUGAUCGGUAACUGGUCUGAGAGGACGGUCAGUCACACUGGGACUGAGACACGGCCCAGACUCCUACGGGAGGCAGCAGCGAGGAAUUUUAGUCAAUGGGCGAAAGCCUGAACUAGCGACGCCGCGUGGGGGAUGAAGGUUUUCGGAUUGUAAACCCCUUUUAUCAGGGAGGAAUAAAAUGACAGUACCUGAUGAAUAAGCCAUGGCUAACUACGUGCCAGCAGCCGCGGUAAUAAGGGCGA
Molecule: ribosomal RNA, 502 nt
Filed under: uncultured Chloroflexota bacterium
Lineage: Bacteria; Bacillati; Chloroflexota
Description: bacterial SSU rRNA
Rfam family: Bacterial small subunit ribosomal RNA
Source: RNAcentral